CGCUGUACACUGUCAGUCCAUUAUAGCAAAGUGCAAUGCUCCAGCACGUACGCCUUAACCCGGUUUCGGUGUAAUCAGUGUCAUCGACGUGACAAGUAGGCCAUCGUGAGUCCGAGUUCCGUUCAGUACCGUCCGUUAUCAUCAGUCUCCCUAAAUAUUGUCUCCUCUGAGAUAUGUACCUACAGUUACUCGAAUUUGCUCUUUCCCGAUUUUUCGUUGCAUCAACGUCAGUGCUGUUGUUGCAAAAGAUGAAACGCGGCAUCGCGAAUUCAAGUGGAUGUCAGUUAUUCCCAACUUUCAGGUGGGCAAAAUAUCAGAGAUAUUUAAAAGUGUUGUGAUUAUCUGAUAGAGGAACACGUGGGUGUGUGCGGAAUAGAAAUAUAUCAGAUUAUAAGUGUUGGAAUAGUAUAAGUACAGUGUAUGCUACUCCAGAUGCGCACUCUGGCAGCGUUACAUUACAACAUAGCUCCGAAGCCAUGGGCCUAUGUAUAUUUAUAUAAUUACGGAAACUGGCCUGUCUAUGCCCUCUGCACUAACCUAACCAUAACCUAACACCAAUGUAUGCAAGGCAUGUUCCUGAAAAGGCUAUGAGACUGAAAGACCCUUCUUAUUGAUUUAGUGUUAGAUAACACUUAAUGGCUUCGAAGGCCAGGAGAACUACACAAUAGUGCUGAUGUAGAGUUUUUCUAAAAGUGCCGUCUACUUCAAUAAAAAGCAAAGCGUCAUUGUAUACCGCAGACUUUUAUAUAUUGUAAUAUCCUGAAAAAACCGUUGGGAAAAUUCCGACGAACUACAGGUAGUGAAGAAAUGAAAGGUCCGUAACGGGCCAGGUAGGAUGGGACAUUCCAAUGGGCUAAGUGGGUCAACAACAUGGCCGCAUCCGUUUAGAAGAAUAGGCAAUCGAAAAUGGUGGACCUGACCAUCUUGGGUCACCAGCAGCUGUAAGAUACAUGUGCAUGGUAGGGGAACCGAAAACCGUGGUAUAAAAGGACGUUUUGGUGGAGAGAAUAGUCAGUUACGAGUAAGUUGCGACUAAUUGCAGACAGAAGGUAGUCGUCACACAUUAGAAAAAAAAAGGAGACACGAACAAGGUGCAUAAGGAGCUGUCCCGUUGAACAAAGAAGCAAACUCAGACAUACUACGGGUAUGUUUACAAAAUGUUCGGCAUAACGAAGAUAGCUAGUAUGAAGAGUUUGGUCGUAAUACAGUAUAUUAUCGACGGAAUUCGCGAGCAGACUAACAACAUCAUACUGUACGGCGCCAAGGAUAUUCGCAAAUUAAAAAAAAAGUUCGCUACGUACGUGAACAUGAAGGAAAACGCGAAGACGAAAGGCAAACUGGUCGAAGAAAAAUCCAAGAGGACGAGACGCGACGGAGCUAUCUACGCAGAAACAAAAAUCACCUAAGUGCGAACUGCCCAACGAAAGCAAAGUUGCCAAGCAAAAAUGCCACGAAUACGGACACGUCGCAUCACAAUUUAACAAUUGCCUCAAGAGGGUGCCUGCCACCCGGAGUGCUCGACGGGUCCGCUCUAAAGUUAAACAUAAACACCAGAUGAGUUACACCCACGACGAUAAGAUAGUUACCAGAUUGGAUAGGAAUAGAUUCCCUCCUCAAAGGAAAUAUGGACAGAAAAACACCCCCUGGACUGAGAGCUAGACUAUAAGGACCAGGCGCUUCAAGAGGCGAGUAUUCAGUCUUCAUCACGCAGUCAGUACGUCGGAAAGAUGCGACGGUGAAACGUCGAGAGGUUCCUUAGUAUCUUUGAGCGGAAACUUCGAAGAUGAACGGACCAUACCCAGAUCGUAAUCGAAUGCGGAAGCGGAAAAUCCUGAGGAUGUCCAUUCUAGAAGCAAAAUGAAGAAAUCUGAGAACCAUGGCGUCUCCGUAGAAAGAAAAGAAGCUGUUCAACCAUUCUACGUGAUUUCGAAGAUGGGCAUAAAUGGAGUGGCAGCCAAAUCGAAACGAGUUUCGAAUCGGUGACAAGAUCGUUGAGACUUGUGGACGUAGACUGUGUGGUAUGUCGAUUGUCGAAGCUAGGCACACGUUAAAAACAUGUUUGGGAACCAUAGAAUUGCAGAUAUUCGAAGAACCGACUUCAGCUUUCGGUGUAGAGCUAGGUGACACGUGGUGCGAUAUUCUUGUACGUACUAGAAACGAUUUCGAGAUGACGAUGCUGAAACAAAGGAACACGGCUAUUGUUCAUGAUUCCAUAAAUGUCGUGCAACAAGAAACUCCUUCUCAAUAUAAGAUAAUGGGUACCCUGAUGAAGAAUGGCAAGAACUUAUUCGGGAGUUUUAAGGAGCGACUGAAAAGGGAAAAUGAAGGAACUAUUAGAAAAUUUAUAUAAAAAAAAUAAAUAAUGUCACUAUGGUUGUUCGGCGGUGAUUUGCGAAAAGAUGCGUUCGCGGUAUAACGCGUCAACGAGAAUCAUAAAAUCUCGUGUCGAUACGAUAAUCGACGCACUCUCUUUACAUCCAACAACUUUUAAAUACUGGAAAGUACAUUUUGAUCCAAGAGUUGUUAACAAGUGAAGUUCGAAGACGGUGAUGUCAAGAAGGGAAACUAUUGAUGGGUCUGCCUCUGCAGCACGAGACAAGCGGAUUUGUUUAUUGCAAUCUUCGUUAAGCAAGCGAGGACAACGGUCAUUGCUGCCAAUUAGAUGAGAAAGGAACUGGUGGAUAAGGAUGGGACAGGACACAUAUCCUGUGUCUUACCAUGACGAGCAAUAGGGAGCAGCUUCCCAUGUUUUUUCGUUUUCCAUGAGUAAUGUUACGUCAUGUGACCCUAUCAUAUACUGUUACGCCACGAGGCUUAACACAGGCUGUAUUUUCUAACCGUCACUCGCGGCCCUACAAUGUCUC
Long non-coding RNA from Bombus terrestris (buff-tailed bumblebee), 2864 nucleotides. RefSeq lists it as uncharacterized. NCBI's taxonomy places the organism in Eukaryota, Metazoa, Arthropoda, Insecta, Hymenoptera, Apidae. The record is from RefSeq and is a predicted model, not a curated record. The transcript is spliced from 4 exons.